AGUGAACGCUGGCGGUAGGCCUAACACAUGCCAGUCGAACGGCAGCACAGUAAGAGCUUGCUCUUACGGGUGUCGAGUGGCGGACGGGUGAGGAAUACAUCGGAAUCUACUUUUUCGUGGGGGAUAACGUAGGGAAACUUCCGCUAAUACCGCAUACGACCUACGUGUGAAAGCAGGGGAUCUUCGGACCUUGCGCGAUUGAAUGAGCCGAUGUCGGAUUAGCUAGUUGGCGGGGUAAAGGCCCACCAAGGCGACGAUCCGUAGCUGGUCUGAGAGGAUGAUCAGCCACACUGGAACUGAGACACGGUCCAGACUCCUACGGGAGGCAGCAGUGGGGAAUAUUGGACAAUGGGCGCAAGCCUGAUCCAGCCAUACCGCGUGGGUGAAGAAGGCCUUCGGGUUGUAAAGCCCUUUUGUUGGGAAAGAAAAGCAGCAGGUUAAUACCCCGCUGUUCUGACGGUACCCAAAGAAUAAGCACCGGCUAACUUCGUG
This 492-nucleotide ribosomal RNA is filed under the name uncultured bacterium. Its description in RNAcentral is "partial 16S ribosomal RNA". It matches the Rfam family "Bacterial small subunit ribosomal RNA", at positions 29 to 507 of the family's 1533-position model. The record is from RNAcentral.